Molecule: unclassified non-coding RNA, 359 nt
Filed under: fungal sp.
Lineage: Eukaryota; Fungi
Description: partial internal transcribed spacer region
Rfam family: Eukaryotic small subunit ribosomal RNA (bases 1-46)
Source: RNAcentral
AAGUCGUAACAAGGUUUCCGUAGGUGAACCUGCGGAAGGAUCAUUAACACGUAUCCAAACGUUAAAACCCCGCCCCGUGAACAUUAAUUCCUGCUCUUGUAACCCGCGAAGCUUGAAUCUCGGGUAAAUCAUAUAGCCCGGAAAGUAGUUUUGAUUCAGAGACCUGUGGUCCGUGCGAAAAUUGGAACAGUUACAAUUCGAGUGAUUGUGCAAGGAUAACGCUUCACGAUUCUUGUAGGGCAGGAGCUAGGCCAAAGAGUCCCCAUGCCCCCUUACAACCCCACAGUUAAAUGUGAAGCUCAAUGUAAUACAUUGGGUAAAAAACCGAACAACUGUUAACAAUGGAUAUCUUGGUUCUC